Molecule: long non-coding RNA, 226 nt
Filed under: Elaeis guineensis (African oil palm)
Lineage: Eukaryota; Viridiplantae; Streptophyta; Magnoliopsida; Arecales; Arecaceae
Description: long non-coding RNA (EGUI_LNC034447)
Source: RNAcentral
ACUACCUGCAGCAUCCUAUGAAUCUUCUCAAUACCCAUCAAUAUAAGAUCAAUGCAAUAUGCAGCAUAUGAGGUCCAGUAUAUCUGCGGUUGCUGCUCCAUUAGUAACUCUCCGACAGCCUCAUAUUUUGGCCCAUUAUCUGUAAUGACUUGCACGACAUACUGCUCACCUACUGAAUCAAUCGCCUCCUCUAUCAGACCAAAGAUAUAUGCGGCAUCAUGCAUCU